This 769-nucleotide ribosomal RNA is filed under the name uncultured Pseudoalteromonadaceae bacterium. Its description in RNAcentral is "bacterial SSU rRNA". It matches the Rfam family "Bacterial small subunit ribosomal RNA", at positions 28 to 776 of the family's 1533-position model. Lineage: Bacteria; Pseudomonadati; Pseudomonadota; Gammaproteobacteria; Alteromonadales; Pseudoalteromonadaceae. The record is from RNAcentral.
AUUGAACGCUGGCGGCAGGCCUAACACAUGCAAGUCGAGCGGAAACGAGUUAUCUGAACCUUCGGGGAACGAUAACGGCGUCGAGCGGCGGACGGGUGAGUAAUGCCUAGGAAAUUGCCCUGAUGUGGGGGAUAACCAUUGGAAACGAUGGCUAAUACCGCAUGAUGCCUACGGGCCAAAGAGGGGGACCUUCGGGCCUCUCGCGUCAGGAUAUGCCUAGGUGGGAUUAGCUAGUUGGUGAGGUAAGGGCUCACCAAGGCGACGAUCCCUAGCUGGUCUGAGAGGAUGAUCAGCCACACUGGAACUGAGACACGGUCCAGACUCCUACGGGAGGCAGCAGUGGGGAAUAUUGCACAAUGGGCGCAAGCCUGAUGCAGCCAUGCCGCGUGUAUGAAGAAGGCCUUCGGGUUGUAAAGUACUUUCAGUCGUGAGGAAGGCGGCGUCGUUAAUAGCGGCGUUGUUUGACGUUAGCGACAGAAGAAGCACCGGCUAACUCCGUGCCAGCAGCCGCGGUAAUACGGAGGGUGCGAGCGUUAAUCGGAAUUACUGGGCGUAAAGCGCAUGCAGGUGGUUUGUUAAGUCAGAUGUGAAAGCCCGGGGCUCAACCUCGGAAUAGCAUUUGAAACUGGCAGACUAGAGUACUGUAGAGGGGGGUAGAAUUUCAGGUGUAGCGGUGAAAUGCGUAGAGAUCUGAAGGAAUACCGGUGGCGAAGGCGGCCCCCUGGACAGAUACUGACACUCAGAUGCGAAAGCGUGGGGAGCAAACAGG